RNAcentral lists this ribosomal RNA (475 nucleotides) under uncultured bacterium. RNAcentral's name for it is "bacterial SSU rRNA". It matches the Rfam family "Bacterial small subunit ribosomal RNA", at positions 328 to 793 of the family's 1533-position model. The record is from RNAcentral.
CUCUGUGACUCCUACGGGGAGGCAGCAGUGGGGAAUAUUGCACAAUGGGGGAAACCCUGAUGCAGCCAUGCCGCGUGUGUGAAGAAGGCCUUCGGGUUGUAAAGCACUUUCAGUAGGGAGGAAGGUAGUGUAGUUAACACCUGCACUAUUUGACGUUACCUACAGAAGAAGCACCGGCUAACUCCGUGCCAGCAGCCGCGGUAAUACGGAGGGUGCGAGCGUUAAUCGGAAUUACUGGGCGUAAAGCGCAUGCAGGCGGCCUGUUAAGUCAGAUGUGAAAGCCCGGGGCUUAACCUCGGAAUUGCAUUUGAAACUGGCAGGCUAGAGUCUUGUAGAGGGGGGUAGGAAUUUCAGGUGUAGCGGUGAAAUGCGUAGAGAUCUGAAGGAAUACCAGUGGCGAAGGCGGCCCCCUGGACAAAGACUGACGCUCAGAUGCGAAAGCGUGGGGAGCAAACAGGAUUAGAUACCCUGGUAG